GACGAACGCUAGCGGCGUGCCUAAUACAUGCAAGUUGAGCGAUGAAGAUUGGUGUUUUCCCUAAUUUGAAGAGCCGCGAACGGGUGAGUCACGUGUAGGCAACCUUCCUCUGAGCGGGGGCCAAAAGAAGGUAACGAUUGCUACUACCACAUAACAACUUUAAACAUAAGUUAUAAGUUUGAAAGAAUCAAUUGAAUAUCUCCAAGAUUAUCCCGCGUUGUAUUAGCUAGUUGGGGAGGAAAAGGCCCACGAAGGCGAUGAUACAUAGCCGAACUGAGAGGGAGAUCGGCCACAUUGGGACUGGGACUGGGCCCAAACUCCGACUGGAGGCAGCAGUAGGGAAUCUUCGGAAAGGGACGAAAGGCGGACCGAGAAACGCCGAGGGAGUGAAGAAGAUGUUCGGAUCGUAAAACGCUGUUGGUAGAGAAGAGCGAUGGUGAGAGUGGAAAGCUCAUAAAGUGACGGUAACUACCCAGAAAGGAACGGCUAACUACGUG
RNAcentral lists this ribosomal RNA (497 nucleotides) under uncultured bacterium. RNAcentral's name for it is "partial 16S ribosomal RNA". It matches the Rfam family "Bacterial small subunit ribosomal RNA", at positions 28 to 507 of the family's 1533-position model. The record is from RNAcentral.